Non-coding RNA from Doryrhamphus excisus (bluestripe pipefish), 581 nucleotides. NCBI's taxonomy places the organism in Eukaryota, Metazoa, Chordata, Actinopteri, Syngnathiformes, Syngnathidae. The record is from RefSeq and is a predicted model, not a curated record.
UGUAUCAUAAAAAUACAUUCCUCAUUCUGCUCCACAAUAUUUAAAACCAUUACAUUUAUGCCAAAAGUAAAUAUUAAAAGUGGAGAGACCAAACCGUGUCCUUCCAGAGUAAAAAAAAAACAACUUGGCGAUGUGGGAUGACGUCACUAAAAGGUGCCCGCUUUUGGCGCCAUUUAAGCUGCGGGAAGAGUGACCGGCGUCCUUUGGAUCCACAAGACCGUCGUCCUUUCGAUCCACAAGACCGUCGUCCUUUCGAUCCACAAAUAAGGUACCACAGUUGGCCUGUUGAACUGCAGUUUGGAUGCAACCAGAACCGGCUAACCGACUUGUGUGGAUGCAACCAGAACCGGCUAACCGACUUGGCCUGUUGAACUGCUUGUGGAUGCUACCAGAACCAGCUAACCGACUUGGCCUGUUGAACUGCUGUACGUAUGUAUGUAUGUAUGUAUGUAUGUUUGCACACAGCUAACUAACUUGGCCUCUUGAACGGCAGUGUGUAUGUGUGUAUGUGUGUCUGCGUGCGUGCGUGUCUGUCUGCGUGCGUGUCUGUCUGCGUGCGUGCGUGCCUGUCUGUCUGUCUG